CCGGGUUCAGUGUCACCGAGGAAAUGGGGUUAGUCACCAUUAACCUCUCCUUUCAGACAAUCCAUCAUCCAGAACCUCUUAUGGCCAGAGCUUGUCUUCAUUUGAGCAGAUUUGAAUGUGUGUGAGGGAAAUCGAGGCGAAUGUGGAAGGUGCGCCGACGCUUCCGUUGGUUUUACGUUUUUUUAUGGUUUUACGACGCCGCUCACUUGACUGAGAUUAAUAAGGACGCCCGACAGAAGCGACGGCGAAGCUACAGAGGCGCAGCCGCGGGCUGGAAUCCCCGGGUGGAACCCGGCGUGGUGCAGGAGGACGGUGCCACACCUCCGACGCGCUCCGUGGCCUCGCUUCCAGCGCCGGACGGCGGCGCGGCCAUAGGCGGAGCCGCUCACCUGAAGGCCGCCACCUGCCCCGGGAGGGUGGGCCACAGCAACGCCGGCGCCGCGGAGCCUCUUGACAACGCUGCAUCCUGAGGGGACGUGUGGGAUUGGCACGUGCACGGAGGCGCGGAGCGACGGCACGCGAAGGGGUGAGGCUUUGAGUUGGAGUCUGGUGCUGCACACGUCCAUGCGCUCGCCCACAGCCUCUGGUUCAGGCGCGAUGGGUUCCUUCAGGCUUCAGCCUCAGCAGCUCUGAUCGAACACGGCCUCAUUUGGGCGCAGCCGUUUAAAUUGCAGAAGGUACAUUGUGUUAAAUUAUAGAUGAGGCGGAUAAUUACUGCUUUGCCACGUGAAAUGUCAUGGAACGGGAUCUGCUGUUAGACGGCGUUAACGUUAAAGCGGUGGGUCAAAGGUCAACGCACACCUGACGUCUGUUGUGCAGUUUUGACUUUUAGAAAAAAUAAAAGGGAAGAGUAUUUAUUAUUUGGAUUUUUA
This 872-nucleotide long non-coding RNA is filed under the name Betta splendens (Siamese fighting fish). Its description in RNAcentral is "lncRNA (ENSBSLG00000009579.1)". The record is from RNAcentral. Lineage: Eukaryota; Metazoa; Chordata; Actinopteri; Anabantiformes; Osphronemidae.